CAGUAGCCGCGGUAAUACGUAGGUGGCAAGCGUUGUCCGGAAUUAUUGGGCGUAAAGGGCUCGCAGGCGGUUUCUUAAGUCUGAUGUGAAAACCCCCGGCUCAACCGGGGAGGGUCAUUGGAACCUGGGAAACUUGAGUGCAGAAGAGGAGAGUGGAAUUCCACGUGUAGCGGUGAAAUGCGUAGAGAUGUGGAGGAACACCAGUGGCGAAGGCGACUCUCUGGUCUGUAACUGACGCUGAGGAGCGAAAGCGUGGGGAGCGAACAGGAUUAGAUACCCCUGUAGUCCCUGUCUCUUAUAA
This 301-nucleotide ribosomal RNA is filed under the name uncultured bacterium. RNAcentral describes it as "partial 16S ribosomal RNA". It matches the Rfam family "Bacterial small subunit ribosomal RNA", at positions 509 to 809 of the family's 1533-position model. The record is from RNAcentral.